AUUUUGCUCUCACAUAAUCUUCACCUGAGCUCCUCACCUGGCCGAGCUCCGCUCGCGCGCCCUCCCUUUCUAACUCGUGCACGGCGCUCCCCACGGCUACCUCCAUGAUCAGCUCCACCUGCGAAGAGAACGUGCUCAGGGCUGCCAUGUUGUCUUUGUCCCGUGCCGGUCCGCGCGCACACAUUAUCGGAGGCUCGGAGGAACCGACCGAGGAGGGUUCGGGUCAGCCGGUCCGGGUCAGAGGUCAGACGAAUACACUCUCCGCGGGAUGAUUCCCCGCUCUCUUUGCAGCCAACAUGGCGGUCUGACGCGAUGGUUACUUCCGGGUCAGAAGGCGAAUCUCUCUUCUUUUCCUUCUUCGUGGUAGUACCACCACAUGCUGGAGGAAAGCCUGCCUCGCUUGUUCAGUGUGAGGCCACAGCCUCCUCCUGGUCCUCCCAGUCCUCCCACAGCAGCACAUCAGCAAAGUGGAACCUCCCACUCUUACCGACAGCUAAGUCAACGCUAAAUCUCUUCUUUCACAUGUCUCCAGAAUAAUGAUAUGUUUCUGUGCACCACAUCCAUAGCUUCCUCCGUCUUUGCCCCCAUAUCAGGUGCAAUUUCAGAAAGUAUUCAAAGGAAGAGGUUAUCAAAUGAAAAAUGAGACAGGAGAUGAAGAAGGUUUGCAGGAGUACUAAGAGGCUAGGUGUGCAGAUAAGAGAGAGGUGGCAAAUUAGAACGAAAAGGCUUAUAGUGAGCUGUAUGUGAGGCUGGACACUAACGAGAUGAGAACUUGUAUCGAUCGGCAGAGAUGGAGCUGAGAGGAUGUGGAGGAUGGAUGAGUUCAGGCAGGAGGGAAGAAGAAGACCUCAGAGAGAGCUCAUGGAUGUAGUGAAAGAGAACAUGCAGAGGGUUGGUGAGAAAGACGAGGAUGAUCCAUUGUGGCAACCUGUAAAGGGAGCAGCUGAAAGAAAAAGAGGAAGCUUUGUGUCCCAAACUGUGAGGGUGUCUGUCCAGAAGAUCGUCUGAGAUACUGAAGCGUCACACUCUCUGGUCUUGGGUAAAAGGUCACUCAGAGGUGAGCUGGUGUUGUGGUGCUGGAACCACAGUUUCCCUCAGGCGACCUCCCCAAGAGAGAACUAAAGUUCUGCUGGAUACCAGAGGGAGAUAUAUUUCUGUCUGUAACACGCUGGACAUAUUUUUGCUAAGUUUAUUUAAAAUCAGAAUCACAGUUUAAGAGAAAUCUCACGUCUGAAAACAGACAGUCACUAAUGUUUUACUCAGCAUUCUUUGCUUUGACCCAGUAAAACCAUGAAUCUGAAUCCACA
Oreochromis aureus is the source of this 1307-nucleotide long non-coding RNA. NCBI's taxonomy places the organism in Eukaryota, Metazoa, Chordata, Actinopteri, Cichliformes, Cichlidae. The record is from Ensembl.